GACGUAGGGCGCGAGCGUUGUCCGGAUUUAUUGGGCGUAAAGAGCUCGUAGGCGGCUUGUUGCGUCGACCGUGAAAACCCGGGGCUCAACUUCGGGCCUGCAUUCGAUACGGGCAGACUAGAGUUCGGUAGGGGAGUCUGGAAUUCCUGGUGUAGCGGUGAAAUGCGCAGAUAUCAGGAGGAACACCGGUGGCGAAGGCGGGUCUCUGGGCAGUUACUGACGCUGAGGAGCGAAAGCGUGGGGAGCGAACAGG
RNAcentral lists this ribosomal RNA (253 nucleotides) under uncultured bacterium. RNAcentral's name for it is "partial 16S ribosomal RNA". It matches the Rfam family "Bacterial small subunit ribosomal RNA", at positions 524 to 776 of the family's 1533-position model. The record is from RNAcentral.